Molecule: ribosomal RNA, 229 nt
Filed under: uncultured bacterium
Lineage: Bacteria
Description: partial 16S ribosomal RNA
Rfam family: Bacterial small subunit ribosomal RNA
Source: RNAcentral
UGAGCAACCUGCCCUAGCUCUGGGAUAACCCCGGGAAACCGGGGCUAAUACCGGAUACGAGUCCGAGCGGCAUCACACGGACUGGAAAGUUUUUCGGCUAAGGAUGGGCUCGCGGCCUAUCAGCUUGUUGGUGAGGUAAUGGCUCACCAAGGCGACGACGGGUAGCCGGCCUGAGAGGGUGACCGGCCACACUGGGACUGAGACACGGCCCAGACUCCUACGGGAGGCA